GACGAACGCUGGCGGCGUGCUUAACACAUGCAAGUCGAACGGAAAGGCCCUGCUUUUGUGGGGUGCUCGAGUGGCGAACGGGUGAGUAACACGUGAGUAACCUGCCCUUGACUUUGGGAUAACUUCAGGAAACUGGGGCUAAUACCGGAUAGGAGCUCCUGCUGCAUGGUGGGGGUUGGAAAGUUUCGGCGGUUGGGGAUGGACUCGCGGCUUAUCAGCUUGUUGGUGGGGUAGUGGCUUACCAAGGCUUUGAAGGGUAGCCGGCCUGAGAGGGUGACCGGCCACAUUGGGACUGAGAUACGGCCCAGACUCCUACGGGAGGCAGCAGUGGGGAAUAUUGCACAAUGGGCGGAAGCCUGAUGCAGCAACGCCGCGUGCGGGAUGACGGCCUUCGGGUUGUAAACCGCUUUCGCCUGUGACGAAGCGUGAGUGACGGUAAUGGAUAAAGAAGCACCGGCUAACUACGUG
This 468-nucleotide ribosomal RNA is filed under the name uncultured bacterium. Its description in RNAcentral is "partial 16S ribosomal RNA". It matches the Rfam family "Bacterial small subunit ribosomal RNA", at positions 28 to 507 of the family's 1533-position model. The record is from RNAcentral.